This 462-nucleotide ribosomal RNA is filed under the name uncultured bacterium. RNAcentral describes it as "partial 16S ribosomal RNA". It matches the Rfam family "Bacterial small subunit ribosomal RNA", at positions 28 to 507 of the family's 1533-position model. The record is from RNAcentral.
GACGAACGCUGGCGGCGUGCUUAACACAUGCGAGUCGAGCGGUAAGGCCUUUCGGGGUACACGAGCGGCGAACGGGUGAGUAACACGUGGGUGAUCUGCCCUGCACUUCGGGAUAAGCCUGGGAAACUGGGUCUAAUACCGGAUAUGACCUCCUAUCGCAUGGUGGGUGGUGGAAAGAUUUAUCGGUGCAGGAUGGGCCCGCGGCCUAUCAGCUUGUUGGUGGGGUAUUGGCCUACCAAGGCGACGACGGGUAGCCGACCUGAGAGGGUGACCGGCCACACUGGGACUGAGACACGGCCCAGACUCCUACGGGAGGCAGCAGUGGGGAAUAUUGCACAAUGGGCGAAAGCCUGAUGCAGCGACGCCGCGUGAGGGAUGACGGCCUUCGGGUUGUAAACCUCUUUCAGCAGGGACGAAGCGCAAGUGACGGUACCUGCAGAAGAAGCACCGGCUAACUACGUG